RNAcentral lists this ribosomal RNA (253 nucleotides) under uncultured bacterium. Its description in RNAcentral is "partial 16S ribosomal RNA". It matches the Rfam family "Bacterial small subunit ribosomal RNA", at positions 524 to 776 of the family's 1533-position model. The record is from RNAcentral.
UACGUAGGGUGCGAGCGUUGUCCGGAAUUAUUGGGCGUAAAGGGCUCGUAGGCGGUUUGUCACGUCGGGAGUGAAAACUCAGGGCUUAACCCUGAGCCUGCUUCCGAUACGGGCAGACUAGAGGUAUGCAGGGGAGAACGGAAUUCCUGGUGUAGCGGUGAAAUGCGCAGAUAUCAGGAGGAACACCGAUGGCGAAGGCAGGUCUCUGGGCAUUAACUGACGCUGAGGAGCGAAAGCAUGGGGAGCGAACAGG